RNAcentral lists this non-coding RNA (30 nucleotides) under Homo sapiens (human). Lineage: Eukaryota; Metazoa; Chordata; Mammalia; Primates; Hominidae. The record is from RNAcentral.
UUGGGAAAGGUGCACUCAUGGAAAUGCCCA